GCGGCUGUAGUGUAGUGGUUAGCACAUGGGCCUGCCACGCUCAUGACUCGGGUUCGAAUCCCGACAGCCGCA
This 72-nucleotide transfer RNA is filed under the name Thermoplasmata archaeon. RNAcentral describes it as "tRNA-Gly". It matches the Rfam family "tRNA". From Rfam's summary of the family: Transfer RNA (tRNA) molecules are approximately 80 nucleotides in length. Lineage: Archaea; Methanobacteriati; Thermoplasmatota; Thermoplasmata. The record is from RNAcentral. RNAcentral also lists the same sequence under 3 other names.